GUGACGACUGCCCGCCAAAACCAAGACCUGACAACGGCCAUGUGUGAAAGUGAAUGCCUGUGACCUCAAGAAGUACCUUCAAUAUGAAUAAGUUAUUGGAUUUUCCCGAUGUUGAUGAUGUGUAAAAUUGUCCUCUUAACACCUUUCUCGGGACUUUUUGGGGACAAUAUUAAAAUUCAGAAGAGUUUUUAAUAUUUUUGGAUGGAAAGCAGCAAUACAUGCAAUGUCUUUGCAGAAAUAAACCGGGAAAGAAGAACCAAGAACCUAAUCAAAAGGCUUAGUUUUUGGUGCCUUUGACAUUUAUAUUUUAAUUCUGUGCUAUGUCUUUCAAGUACAGUAUAUCUCGAAAAACUUGAUAUGACGAAAAAUUAUUUCUCCCCUUUUGUAUAUUUUUCUAAUGUUAUUUUUCAUUCUUAUGUUGAAGCGUUUUUAAUCAAAACCUUGUUAUGUGGAAUAUUUUUCGAAGUCAAAUAUGACUUUUUCGGAAAAACCGCAGUUUAUU
Long non-coding RNA from Uloborus diversus, 502 nucleotides. RefSeq lists it as uncharacterized. The record is from RefSeq and is a predicted model, not a curated record. NCBI's taxonomy places the organism in Eukaryota, Metazoa, Arthropoda, Arachnida, Araneae, Uloboridae. The transcript has 4 exons.